Molecule: ribosomal RNA, 481 nt
Filed under: uncultured bacterium
Lineage: Bacteria
Description: partial 16S ribosomal RNA
Rfam family: Bacterial small subunit ribosomal RNA
Source: RNAcentral
GACGAACGUUGGCGGCGUGCUUAAUACAUGCAAGUCAUCUGAAGCAGUGGUAGCAAUAUCGCUGUGGAGGUGGCGCACGGGUGAGUAACACGUAGGUAAUCUGCCUUCAGGUCUGGCAUAACUCCGGGAAACCGGGGCUAAUAGCAGAUGAUGCAGCGGCUCGACAUCGAGACAGUUGUUAAAGCUAUGGCGCCUGAAGAUGAGCCUGCGUCUGAUUAGCUAGUUGGCGGGGUAACGGCCCACCAAGGCAACGAUCAGUAGCUGGUCUGAGAGGAUGAUCAGCCACACUGGAACUGAGACACGGUCCAGACUCCUACGGGAGGCAGCAGUAAGGAAUAUUGCUCAAUGGGAGAAAUCCUGAAGCAGCAACGCCGCGGGAGGGACGAAGGGCUUUUGCUUGUAAACCUCUGUAGGGAGAGAAAAAAAUCCCAAUCUUUGGGACAUGAUGGUAUCUCAAAAGUAAGCCCCGGCUAACUACGUG